CCUACGGGUGGCAGCAGUGAGGAAUAUUGGUCAAUGGACGAGAGUCUGAACCAGCCAAGUAGCGUGAAGGAUGACUGCCCUAUGGGUUGUAAACUUCUUUUAUAUGGGAAUAAAAUGUUCCACGUGUGGGAUUUUGUAUGUACCAUAUGACUAAGAAUCGGCUAACUCCGUGCCAGAAGCCGCGGUAAUACGGAGGAUCCUAGCGUUAUCCGGAUUUAUUGGGUUUAAAGGGAGCGUAGGGGGAUUGUUAAGUCAGUUGUGAAAGUUUGGGGCUCACCCGUAAAAUGGCAUUUGAAACUGGCAGUCUUGAGUACAGUAGAGGUGGGCGGAAUUCGUGGUGUAGCGGUGAAAUGCUUAGAUAUCACGAAGAACUCCGAUUGCGAAGGCAGUUCACUGGACUGCAACUGACACUGAGGCUCGAAAGUGUGGGUAUCAAACAGGAUUAGAUACCCGGGUAGUC
Molecule: ribosomal RNA, 460 nt
Filed under: uncultured bacterium
Lineage: Bacteria
Description: partial 16S ribosomal RNA
Rfam family: Bacterial small subunit ribosomal RNA
Source: RNAcentral